Molecule: non-coding RNA, 1410 nt
Organism: Odocoileus virginianus texanus
Lineage: Eukaryota; Metazoa; Chordata; Mammalia; Artiodactyla; Cervidae
Source: RefSeq, a predicted model, not a curated record
GGGGUCGCAGAGUCAGACAUGACUGAGUGGCUGAACUGAACUGAGGCGUCCAACAUGAAAAGAUUUAACUCAUCCUGUGAACCCGUUGCUAAGCUUUUGAGAAGGGUCUCCAGAUAUCCCUGUUCAAAGAGUUCCCCCAAAUCCCCAGAGGCCAUCCUCAGCCCGGUUUUCCAUCCCCAAAGCAUCUUCCAAUAAUUCAAAGAUUCUCUUCCACAACAGGAGUCCCUUGUGCUUACUUAAAACAAGAAAACCAUUUUUCUCUCAUUUGAUGCUUCUGGGCCUCUGUUUUUCUGGUGCUCUGCUUGUCCAUGGAGCUGCAGCUGCCCUGCCCACCUCAGGGAGCUCUGACUCCGUGGAGUCUGGGGGCUUCUCCACACACAGGCUGCAAGCACAGCAGGCCCCCUCCUCCACCCACUGCCAGCACGACCUCGCCUCCCCUCUGCUCACUGCCUGCCUUGGGCAUCCCUGGUACCAUCACCCCAGACCAAGCCACCUCCUUGAGCAAAGCCACAUCAUCCUGGGACUCUGAAACUCUGGCUUGGGCCCACUGCCUGCAGAACCAGACUGCUGUGGGUUCUAAAGGACACAUAAAGGGGUUCUGUUUGUUUUGGCAUCUCGCCAAGCAACAGAAGCAAUGAGACUGAAGGACAUUCCUUUGAUGGGGGGAGGGGGAAGGCUGAAGAAGGGGAGGCUGGGAAACAAAAUGGCCGCUCAGUGAUGACUUCCAGGGCUGAGCCGACUCAGAAGAAAAGGCCAGUAAAGAGGAAGCUUGACAAUGAAAGAUAACAGCUCUACAAAUAUUUGACACAGAGAACUAGCAUGGCCCUGGGUUAACAUAUCAACAGCUCUGUGCCCUGCAGGGAGAGCAGGUGUCCUGAGAGCAGAGCUGGGCUCUCGUGAUGCCAAGGGACUCAUGUGGUCCCCUCACACCUGAAUUUGCCAGCAGUAUGAGCAAGAUAUGGCUGCAUAUCUGCAUCAGCUCUCUGCCACAGCCAGGUCUUCACCAAAGGAGCCAGGAAGCGAAUCGGACAGAAGAAAGAUGCGGGCUUCAGGGCUCCUUCAGCCCGUGCAGAGCCGCCACCUGGCGCAUCCAGCCUUCUCCUCCGAGGAAGUCUGCCCAGUAUAGGCUGCUUCGCUGGGGUUCCAGACACCUGGAGACUAACUUGGCAGCCAGUCCUUGGGCAAAUCAGCCCAGAGGACCCAACAGGAGGCAGCUGCUGAGAGAGGCUGGAAGGCUGCAAUCACAGAGCCACUUCAAGGAGCUGCCCUGUCCAGCGGCUGUGGCGGCAGGGGCAGAACUCGGAAGCCCUCCCCGCAGUGAGAAGCCAAUCUACAGAGAUGGCUGACUUUGACUAGUCGGAGGUCCUAACUGCAAGGAGUUGGGAGAGAUGUUCAUGAGAAGGGUAUUUA